CAUCAUUUAAAGAAAGCGUAAUAGCUCACUGGUCGAGUCGGCCUGCGCGGAAGAUGUAACGGGGCUAAACCAUGCACCGAAGCUGCGGCAGCGAUGCUUAUGCGUUGUUGGGUAGGGGAGCGUUCUGUAAGCCUGCGAAGGUGUGCUGUGAGGCAUGCUGGAGGUAUCAGAAGUGCGAAUGCUGACAUAAGUAACGAUAAAGCGGGUGAAAAGCCCGCUCGCCGGAAGACCAAGGGUUCCUGUCCAACGUUAAUCGGGGCAGGGUGAGUCGACCCCUAAGGCGAGGCCGAAAGGCGUAGUCGAUGGGAAACAGGUUAAUAUUCCUGUACUUGGUGUUACUGUGAAGGGGGGACGGAGAAGGCUAUGUUGGCCGGGCGACGGUUGUCCCGGUUUAAGCGUGUAGGCUGGUUUUCCAGGCAAAUCCGGAAAAUCAAGGCUGAGGCGUGAUGACGAGGCACUACGGUGCUGAAGCAACAAAUGCCCUGCUUCCAGGAAAAGCCUCUAAGCAUCAGGUAACAUCAAAUCGUACCCCAAACCGACACAGGUGGUCAGGUAGAGAAUACCAAGGCGCUUGAGAGAACUCGGGUGAAGGAACUAGGCAAAAUGGUGCCGUAACUUCGGGAGAAGGCACGC
This 633-nucleotide ribosomal RNA is filed under the name Shigella sonnei. RNAcentral describes it as "partial 23S ribosomal RNA". It matches the Rfam family "Bacterial large subunit ribosomal RNA", at positions 1117 to 1751 of the family's 2925-position model. Lineage: Bacteria; Pseudomonadati; Pseudomonadota; Gammaproteobacteria; Enterobacterales; Enterobacteriaceae. The record is from RNAcentral.